AGAGUUUGAUCAUGGCUCAGGACGAACGCUGGCGGCGCGCCUAACACAUGCAAGUCGAACGAGCGAGAGAGAGCUUGCUUUCUCGAGCGAGUGGCGAACGGGUGAGUAACGCGUGAGGAACCUGCCUCAAAGAGGGGGACAACAGUUGGAAACGACUGCUAAUACCGCAUAAGCCCACGACCCGGCAUCGGGUAGAGGGAAAAGGAGCAAUCCGCUUUGAGAUGGCCUCGCGUCCGAUUAGCUAGUUGGUGAGGUAACGGCCCACCAAGGCGACGAUCGGUAGCCGGACUGAGAGGUUGAACGGCCACAUUGGGACUGAGACACGGCCCAGACUCCUACGGGAGGCAGCAGUGGGGAAUAUUGCACAAUGGGGGAAACCCUGAUGCAGCGACGCCGCGUGGAGGAAGAAGGUCUUCGGAUUGUAAACUCCUGUUGUUGAGGAAGAUAAUGACGGUACUCAACAAGGAAGUGACGGCUAACUACGUGCCAGCAGCCGCGGUAAAACGUAGGUCACAAGCGUUGUCCGGAAUUACUGGGUGUAAAGGGAGCGCAGGCGGGAAGACAAGUUGGAAGUGAAAUCCAUGGGCUCAACCCAUGAACUGCUUUCAAAACUGUUUUUCUUG
This 623-nucleotide ribosomal RNA is filed under the name uncultured bacterium. Its description in RNAcentral is "bacterial SSU rRNA". It matches the Rfam family "Bacterial small subunit ribosomal RNA", at positions 8 to 644 of the family's 1533-position model. The record is from RNAcentral.